UACGUAGGGGGCAAGCGUUGUCCGGAAUCAUUGGGCGUAAAGCGCGUGUAGGCGGUUCGAUAAGUCUGCUGUGAAAGUCCAGGGCUCAACCCUGGAAAGCCGGUGGAUACUGUCGGACUAGAGUGCGGAAGAGGCGAGUGGAAUUCCCGGUGUAGCGGUGAAAUGCGCAGAUAUCGAGAGGAACACCAGUGGCGAAGGCGAGUCUCUGGACGACUCCUGACACUGAGGCACGAAAGCUAGGGGAGCAAACAGG
This 253-nucleotide ribosomal RNA is filed under the name uncultured bacterium. RNAcentral describes it as "partial 16S ribosomal RNA". It matches the Rfam family "Bacterial small subunit ribosomal RNA", at positions 524 to 776 of the family's 1533-position model. The record is from RNAcentral.